CUACAGAACUUCUCUUGCAGGCCUCCCCCAGAGGAAGCACUGCUGUGGUCAGAAGGAUUCGAGGAGCUGCUGGCCAGCAAAUAUGCAUUAGCAGGAAGCUGGAUGGGAAAUGUAGCACCUGAGACUCAAGAUGGUGAUCAUAUGGGAUGCCAGCAUCACUGGUACACUAACAGGAAGCUGGAUUAGAAGUGGAGCAGCUGGGACUCCAACUGUACUCUGAUGUGAAAUGCCAACAUCACAUGGUUAACCUACUGCAAUUAACAGUAAAACUUGUCUUCAAACAGUACUUUAUACUUUCUGUGUCUGUGUGGGUGCAAACUGUUGAAGUAUUUUCUUAGUAUAGAGUUGAGCUCUGUAUAUAAAGAUAAUUAAAAAUGAAUA
Non-coding RNA from Oryctolagus cuniculus (rabbit), 381 nucleotides. NCBI's taxonomy places the organism in Eukaryota, Metazoa, Chordata, Mammalia, Lagomorpha, Leporidae. The record is from RefSeq and is a predicted model, not a curated record.